RNAcentral lists this ribosomal RNA (721 nucleotides) under uncultured bacterium. Its description in RNAcentral is "bacterial SSU rRNA". It matches the Rfam family "Bacterial small subunit ribosomal RNA", at positions 99 to 818 of the family's 1533-position model. The record is from RNAcentral.
CGCACGGGUGAGUAACACGUAUGCAACCUGCCCCUGUCAGGGGGACAACCCGCCGAAAGGCGGGCUAAACCCGCGUACAUGCCACCGGGGCAUCCCGGAGGCAGGAAAGGCUUCGGCCGGACAGGGAUGGGCAUGCGGCGCAUUAGGCAGUAGGCGGGGUAACGGCCCACCUAACCGACGAUGCGUAGGGGUUCUGAGAGGAAGGUCCCCCACACUGGUACUGAGACACGGACCAGACUCCUACGGGAGGCAGCAGUGAGGAAUAUUGGUCAAUGGUCGGGAGACUGAACCAGCCAAGCCGCGUGAGGGAGGAAGGUACAGAGUAUCGUAAACCUCUUUUGUCAGGGAACAAAGACUGGGACGCGUCCCCGGAUGGGUGUACCUGAAGAAAAAGCAUCGGCUAACUCCGUGCCAGCAGCCGCGGUAAUACGGAGGAUGCGAGCGUUAUCCGGAUUUAUUGGGUUUAAAGGGUGCGCAGGCGGUCUGUUAAGUCAGCGGUCAAAGCCCGGGGCUCAACCCCGGCCCGCCGUUGAAACUGGCAGUCUCGAGUUGGAGAGAAGUAUGCGGAAUGCGCGGUGUAGCGGUGAAAUGCAUAGAUAUCGCGCAGAACUCCGAUUGCGAAGGCAGCAUGCCGGCUCCACACUGACGCUGAGGCACGAAAGCGUGGGUAUCGAACAGGAUUAGAUACCCUGGUAGUCCACGCAGUAAACGAUGAAUGCUG